UACAGAGGUCUCAAGCGUUGUUCGGAUUCAUUGGGCGUAAAGGGUGCGUAGGCGGCGCGGUAAGUCGGGUGUGAAAUCUCGGAGCUUAACUUCGAAACUGCAUUCGAUACUGCCGUGCUUGAGGACUGGAGAGGAGACUGGAAUUUACGGUGUAGCGGUGAAAUGCGUAGAUAUCGUAAGGAAGACCAGUGGCGAAGGCGGGUCUCUGGACAGUUCCUGACGCUGAGGUACGAAGGCCAGGGGAGCAAACGGG
This 253-nucleotide ribosomal RNA is filed under the name uncultured bacterium. RNAcentral describes it as "partial 16S ribosomal RNA". It matches the Rfam family "Bacterial small subunit ribosomal RNA", at positions 524 to 776 of the family's 1533-position model. The record is from RNAcentral.